GACGAACGCUGGCGGCGUGCUUAACACAUGCAAGUCAGGGGGCCAGCAAUGGUCACCGGCGAACGGGUGCGGAACACGUGAGCGACCUGCCCUUGUCUGGGGGAUAGCCGGCCCAACGGCCGGGUAAUACCGCAUGGGUCCCGCGCUUGGAAGCGCGCGGACAAAGCCCGUAAGGGCGGACGAGGAGGGGCUCGCGGCCUAUCAGCUAGUUGGGGGGGUAACGGCCCACCAAGGCGACGACGGGUAGCUGGUCUGAGAGGAUGGCCAGCCACAUUGGGACUGAGAGACGGCCCAGACUCCUACGGGAGGCAGCAGUGGGGAAUCUUGCGCAAUGGGCGAAAGCCUGACGCAGCGACGCCGCGUGGAGGAUGAGGCCCUUCGGGGUGUAAACUCCUGUUGCUUGGGACGAAUGGCGGGGAUUGCCCCGUUUGACGGUACCGAGUGAGGAAGCACCGGCUAACUCUGUGCCAGCAGCCGCGGUAAUACAGAGGGUGCGAGCGUUGUCCGGAAUUACUGGGCGUAAAGGGCGCGUAGGCGGUCCUGUAACGCGUGCCGUGAAAGCCCGGGGCUCAACCCCGGGUCUGCGGUGCGAACGGGGGGACUGGAGCACAUCAGAGGCAGGCGGAAUUCCGGGUGUAGCGGUGGAAUGCGUAGAGAUCCGGAAGAACACCGGUGGCGAAGGCGGCCUGCUGGGAUGUGGCUGACGCUGAGGCGCGACAGCGUGGGGAGCAAACAGGAUUAGAUACCCUGGUAGUCCACGCCGUAAACGAUGGGCACUAGGUGCUUGGGGGAGCGACCCCCUGAGUGCCGGCGCUAACGCAUUAAGUGCCUC
Molecule: ribosomal RNA, 832 nt
Filed under: uncultured bacterium
Lineage: Bacteria
Description: bacterial SSU rRNA
Rfam family: Bacterial small subunit ribosomal RNA
Source: RNAcentral